This 240-nucleotide ribosomal RNA is filed under the name uncultured bacterium. RNAcentral describes it as "partial 16S ribosomal RNA". It matches the Rfam family "Bacterial small subunit ribosomal RNA", at positions 334 to 566 of the family's 1533-position model. The record is from RNAcentral.
UCGUCCUACGGGGCGCAGCAGUAGGGAAUCUUCCACAAUGGGCGAAAGCCUGAUGGAGCAACGCCGCGUGGGUGAAGAAGGUCUUCGGAUCGUAAAACCCUGUUGUUAGAGAAGAAAGUGCGUGAGAGUAACUGUUCACGUUUCGACGGUAUCUAACCAGAAAGCCACGGCUAACUACGUGCCAGCAGCCGCGGUAAUACGAAGGUGGCAAGCGGUAUCCGGAGUUAUUGGGCGAAACGG